Molecule: ribosomal RNA, 292 nt
Filed under: uncultured bacterium
Lineage: Bacteria
Description: partial 16S ribosomal RNA
Rfam family: Bacterial small subunit ribosomal RNA
Source: RNAcentral
GUGCCAGCAGCCGCGGUAAUACGGAGGGUGCAAGCGUUAUCCGGAUUUACUGGGUUUAAAGGGUGUGUAGGCGGACUUUUAAGUCAGCGGUGAAAUCUCCGGGCUCAACCCGGAAACUGCCAUUGAUACUAUUAGUCUUGAAUAUUGUUGAGGUAGGCGGAACGGGUCAUGUAGCGGUGAAAUGCAUAGAUAUGACCCGGAACACCGAUUGCGAAGGCAGCCUACUAAGCAAUUAUUGACGCUGAGGCACGAAAGCGUGGGGAUCAAACAGGAUUAGAAACCCCCGUAGUCC